CGCAAGGUUUUCUACGCAACGUUCAUCGGCGUAGAGUGAGUCGGCCCCUAAGGCGAGGCAGAGAUGCGUAGCUGAUGGGAAACAGGUCAAUAUUCCUGUACCGAUGUGUAGUGCGAUGUGGGGACGGAUCUUAAUAGGUCAUCCGGGUGUUGGAUAUCCCGGUUUAGUUGGAAGUAGGCGAUGGGUAGGCAAAUCCGCCCGUCAUAUACCGAGGCCAAUGAUCGAGCCAGCUUGCUGGUGAAGUGACUGAACGAGGUUCCAGGAAAAGCCACUAAGCUUCAGCUACACACGACCGUACCGCAAACCGACACUGGUGCGCGAGAUGAGUAUUCUAAGGCGCUUGAGAGAACUCAGGAGAAGGAACUCGGCAAAUUGACACCGUAACUUCGGAAGAAGGUGUGCCCUAUUAGUGUGAAGUGAACAACGGAGCAUGAAUGGGUUGCAAAAAAUCGGUGGCUGCGACUGUUUAUUAAAAACACAGCACUCUGCAAACACGAAAGUGGACGUAUAGGGUGUGACGCCUGCCCGGUGCUGGAAGAUUAAAUGAUGGGGUGCAAGCUCUUGAUUGAAGUCCCAGUAAACGGCGGCCGUAACAAUAACGGUCCUAAGGUAGCGAAAUUCCUUGUCGGGUAAGUUCCGACCUGCACGAAUGGCGUAACGAUGGCCACACUGUCUCCUCCUGAGACUCAGCGAAGUUGAAAUGUUUGUGAUGAUGCAAUCUCCCCGCGGAAAGACGGAAAGACCCCAUGAACCUUUACUGUAGCUUUGUAUUGGACUUUGAACAGAUCUGUGUAGGAUAGGUGGGAGGCUUUGAAGCAGGGUCGCUAGAUCUUGUGGAGCCAACGUUGAAAUACCACCCUGGUGUGUUUGAGGUUCUAACCUAGGUCCAUUAUCUGGAUCGGGGACAGUGCAUGGUAGGCAGUUUGACUGGGGCGGUCUCCUCCCAAAGCGUAACGGAGGAGUUCGAAGGUACGCUAGUUACGGUCGGACAUCGUGACGAUAGUGCAAUGGCAUAAGCGUGCUUAACUGCGAGACUGACAAGUCGAGCAGAUGCGAAAGCAGGACAUAGUGAUCCGGUGGUUCUGUAUGGAAGGGCCAUCGCUCAACGGAUAAAAGGUACUCUGGGGAUAACAGGCUGAUACCGCCCAAGAGUUCAUAUCGACGGCGGUGUUUGGCACCUCGAUGUCGGCUCAUCUCAUCCUGGGGCUGUAGCCGGUCCCAAGGGUAUGGCUGUUCGCCAUUUAAAGAGGUACGUGAGCUGGGUUUAAAACGUCGUGAGACAGUUUGGUCCCUAUCUUCCGUGGGCGCUGCAGAUUUGAGGAAGCCUGCUCCUAGUACGAGAGGACCGGAGUGGACACACCUCUGGUGUAUCGGUUGUCACGCCAGUGGCAUUGCCGAGUAGCUAAGUGUGGAAGAGAUAACCGCUGAAAGCAUCUAAGCGGGAAACUCGUUUCAAGAUGAGAUCUGCCGGGGCCUCGAGCCCCCUAAAGAGUCGUUCAAGACCAGGACGUUGAUAGGUCGGGUGUGGAAGCGCAGUAAUGCGUUAAGCUAACCGAUACUAAUUGCUCGUGCGGCUUGACCCU
This 1583-nucleotide ribosomal RNA is filed under the name metagenome. RNAcentral's name for it is "bacterial LSU rRNA". It matches the Rfam family "Bacterial large subunit ribosomal RNA", at positions 1344 to 2925 of the family's 2925-position model. The record is from RNAcentral.